This 27-nucleotide non-coding RNA is filed under the name Mus musculus (house mouse). Lineage: Eukaryota; Metazoa; Chordata; Mammalia; Rodentia; Muridae. The record is from RNAcentral.
UGCAUCUGUCCCCUGCGUUAGCUAGUG